This 472-nucleotide ribosomal RNA is filed under the name uncultured bacterium. Its description in RNAcentral is "partial 16S ribosomal RNA". It matches the Rfam family "Bacterial small subunit ribosomal RNA", at positions 29 to 507 of the family's 1533-position model. The record is from RNAcentral.
AUAAACGCUGGCGGCGCACAUAAGACCUGCAAGUUGCACGGACUUAAUCGAAAUAUUUAUAUUUUGAAGCGGUUAGUGGCGGACUGGUGAGUAACGCGUAAGGAACCUGCCUAUUAGAGGGGAAUAACAGUGAGAAAUCAUUGCUAAUACCGCAUAUGCCAUAGAUAUCACAUGAUAACAGUGGGAAAGGAGCAAUCCGCUAAUAGAUGGCCUUGCGUCUGAUUAGAUAGUUGGUGGGGUAACGGCCUACCAAGUCGACGAUCAGUAGCCGGACUGAGAGGUUGAACGGCCACAUUGGGACUGAGAUACGGCCCAGACUCCUACGGGAGGCAGCAGUCGGGAAUAUUGCGCAAUGGAGGAAACUCUGACGCAGUGACGCCGCGUAUAGGAAGAAGGUUUUCGGAUUGUAAACUAUUGUCGUUAGGGAAGAGAAAGGACAGUACCUAAGGAGGAAGCUCCGGCUAACUACGUG